This 2155-nucleotide long non-coding RNA is filed under the name Vigna radiata. Its description in RNAcentral is "long non-coding RNA (VRAD_LNC012071)". The record is from RNAcentral. Lineage: Eukaryota; Viridiplantae; Streptophyta; Magnoliopsida; Fabales; Fabaceae.
GCCAGUGCCAUAUUUUGCAAUUUAAACUGAAAGCAGAUGUCAUUUAAUUCAAAAGAUCAUUGAAACAAUAAAUUGGCAGAAGAUAUGAAUAUUAACAGCAUUAGCCACCCACAUGUAAAAAACACAAACUGCAUCCAAUUGUUCUAGGUUUCAUAAUAAUAGCCAAAAAAGAUGAAAAUGGAGUAACAAAGCAUAGUGAGACACAGCUAAAGGAAGCUACUAAAACAAGGGAUAGAGCAAACAAGUAGGAUACUAAGAAACGAAGGACAGAGGAAACAAGUAAGGAUACUAAGGAGCAGUAGUACCAAUUAAAGCAAACAAGAAAAUAGACACUCAACUAACAAAAGCUAAUAACCCCAUAUGAAGAUUGACCUAGUGGAAAUAGAAUUCCCAACAAAACUUAUCUGCCCUGUCCCUCUUGUAUGCUUUUCAAAUUUUGGUUAUAGUUGAUUUGUCCUCACUUGGCCAUCAUCACUUUGACAAACUCCUCAUAGUUGAUCUGGCCAUCGCCGUCGACAUCAGCCUCGCGAAUCAUCUCAUCAACCUCCUCAUCGGUCAGCUUCUCCCCCAGAUUUGUCAUAACAUGGCGGAGCUCAGCAGCAGAUAUAAAACCAUUCUGAUCCUUGUCGAACACACGGAAAGCUUCUUUAAGCUCCUCCUCUGAGUCAGUGUCUUUCAUCUUGCGAGCCAUCAGAUUGAGGAACUCCGGGAAAUCGAUGGUUCCGUUGCCAUCAGCAUCAACCUCAUUUAUCAUGUCCUGCAACUCUGCCUCAGUUGGGUUUUGCCCAAGUGACCGCAUUACAGUCCCAAGUUCCUUGGUAGUAAUGCAACCUAAACCACAUUACAAAACUGUUCAACAGAAAUAUGAUUCAUUCAAACCCACAAGUGAAAUGCAGGUCAAAGUUUUGAAAACAUGACGGAAUAAAGAACAUAAAUCCGGUUAUACUGGGAGGAAAGUUUCAGAAGAAAAAGAUAAUCUGAAGCAGGUACAACAACGGAAAGUGAAGAACACUGUAAAGUACCAUUGCGUCAAAGGAACACACAUGCUAGAUAUUUGGUAACAAUUUUCUACAGUAAUGAUUAAUUAACAAUUCGGACAAGAUACUGUUAGCAUCCUUGGUAGUAGGGGUUUGCCUAUCAGCUGAGAUACUCAUAGCAGAAACAUGCAUAGAAUGACAUAAUGGUUAACAAAUCUAGACAGAAUGAAAUACAUAGUCAAAAACAAAAAAUCUAGCCAAAUAAAAAUGUCUAGCUAAACCAAAUGAUCCAAAUAUCAAAUUCCAUUACAUAAAUAUACACAUGCUACACUAUCACUGCUUACUUCAGUUGCCAAAACAAACACCCGUAUUUUUAGUAUUUACAAAGGACAAACUUACGCAUUUCUGAAUCUACAUAUCACAUAAAACUCCUACGGAAAAAACAGAUCCAUAAUAUAAAAUCUAGAUGUUUCCACAAAACGAUAAGCACAACCAAGACUUGUCAUCAACAACCCAAUAGGAUGACACAAACAGAUCCACCAACCAAAACGGUCCAACAAGCUAACAUUCUAUUCUCAGACACCACAAAAACAUAAAUCGCCAAAUUUAACACAGCAAACUGCCAACCUUCCGAAUUCAACUUUACAAAUCAUAACCCACAUCCCCAAUUUCCACAUCUACGAAAACCAUUCCGAUUUCCGACACGUGCAUCAAACAACAAAAAGCAAACCCCAGUUCCAAAUCCAACGCUAAAAAUCCAUUUCCAAUUCCACGAUCCAAAUCCACCCACACCCGGAAUCAUAACUCUUCACAAAACAAAACAUCAUCAACAAACACAAAACCACGAGAAUCGUAGAAAUUUCCACAUCAACAUCCAAAAGGUCAAACAAAACCGGAACCCUAUAUCACCAAGUAUAAGUGUCAUAUAAAUUCAAUCCCCCUACCUCAAACUACCAAAAAUAUCAAAUUUAGCACAAAAAGAAAAACACAAACAAGACCCCCCAAGAACAAACGAAUUGCGGAAACCAGAUCUGGGAAAGAGGGAAAAGUGAAACAAGGAAGAGAGAAAAAGGAAAAAGACAGAGAGGGAUCUGAGGAGAGAGACCAUCGCCAUCCUUGUCGAAGAGGCUGAAGGCCUCCUUGAACUCGGCGAUCUGGUCGUCGGUGAGCUGGUCGGC